UGGAUUAUAUUUAAUAAUAAUACUUGAAUUGCAAUCAAGAAGUGCUAAAAUAGCUAAUCUUA
This 62-nucleotide transfer RNA is filed under the name Atkinsoniella curvata. RNAcentral's name for it is "tRNA-Ala". Lineage: Eukaryota; Metazoa; Arthropoda; Insecta; Hemiptera; Cicadellidae. The record is from RNAcentral.